AACGAACGCUGGCGGCGUGCCUAACACAUGCAAGUCGAACGAGAUCUUCGGGUCUAGUGGCGCACGGGUGCGUAACGCGUGGGAAUCUGCCCUUUGGUUCGGAAUAACAGUUGGAAACGACUGCUAAUACCGGAUGAUGACGAAAGUCCAAAGAUUUAUCGCCAGAGGAUGAGCCCGCGUAGGAUUAGCUAGUUGGUGUGGUAAAGGCGCACCAAGGCGACGAUCUUUAGCUGGUCUGAGAGGAUGAUCAGCCACACUGGGACUGAGACACGGCCCAGACUCCUACGGGAGGCAGCAGUGGGGAAUAUUGGACAAUGGGCGAAAGCCUGAUCCAGCAAUGCCGCGUGAGUGAUGAAGGCCUUAGGGUUGUAAAGCUCUUUUACCCGGGAUGAUAAUGACAGUACCGGGAGAAUAAGCUCCGGCUAACUCCGUGCCAGCCGCCGCAGUAA
Molecule: ribosomal RNA, 449 nt
Filed under: uncultured bacterium
Lineage: Bacteria
Description: partial 16S ribosomal RNA
Rfam family: Bacterial small subunit ribosomal RNA
Source: RNAcentral